RNAcentral lists this ribosomal RNA (693 nucleotides) under uncultured bacterium. RNAcentral's name for it is "bacterial SSU rRNA". It matches the Rfam family "Bacterial small subunit ribosomal RNA", at positions 32 to 715 of the family's 1533-position model. The record is from RNAcentral.
AACGCUAGCUACAGGCUUAACACAUGCAAGUCGAGGGGCAGCAUCAUCAAAGCUUGCUUUGAUGGAUGGCGACCGACGCACGGGUGAGUAACACGUAUCCAACCUGCCGACAACACUGGGAUAGCCUUUCGAAAGAAAGAUUAAUACCCGAUGGCAUAGUUCUUCCGCAUGGUAGAACUAUUAAAGAAUUUCGGUCAUCGAUGGGGAUGCGUUCCAUUAGGUUGUUGGCGGGGUAACGGCCCACCAAGCCUUCGAUGGAUAGGGGUUCUGAGAGGAAGGUCCCCCACAUUGGAACUGAGACACGGUCCAAACUCCUACGGGAGGCAGCAGUGAGGAAUAUUGGUCAAUGGACGAGAGUCUGAACCAGCCAAGUAGCGUGAAGGAUGACUGCCCUAUGGGUUGUAAACUUCUUUUAUACGGGAAUAAAGUGAGGCACGUGUGCCUUUUUGUAUGUACCGUAUGAAUAAGGAUCGGCUAACUCCGUGCCAGCAGCCGCGGUAAUACGGAGGAUCCGAGCGUUAUCCGGAUUUAUUGGGUUUAAAGGGAGCGUAGGCGGACGCUUAAGUCAGUUGUGAAAGUUUGCGGCUCAACCGUAAAAUUGCAGUUGAUACUGGGUGUCUUGAGUACAGUAGAGGCGGGCGGAAUUCGUGGUGUAGCGGUGAAAUGCUUAGAUAUCACGAAGAACUCCGAUUG